CAAUGCUUUUUUUUACUUGAAGGGAAGUGGUAAAGGGAAGACCUGAGGUCCGAUCUCUUCAACACUAGUGAAGGGAGCAGACCCUAUGACAAAGGUAAGUGGUAAAGGAUUUUUGGUUUGCUACCAUGUUCUGCAUGUUUCCACCUCUGUUUCAAACACGACGCGAUAAAAUUGAAGACUUUUUCGGGGCACGUGUCAAAUGUAUUGCUAAUUCAUAGGCGAUGCUGAAAGUGGUUUCAUCCUCAUUUCUACGGUCUCUGUGCGCUAAUAUUUAAUGGUUUUCAUCGUGCAGCAACAUGGUAAACCAUUGUUGUGUCAAGACAUGCAAGCAACACUUUGAUUACAAGCCCCAACAUAAGCAGGGUGCAAAAUGGAAACUACACAGAACCUUGGUACGUCACCUGCGACGGCGACGUCACCUGCGAGUUCCGCGGAACCCCUGACGCCGUCACCAGCUGGACCAUCCGCGGCACUGGACCAUCCAGCGACGGCCGUGACGCCGUCACCAGCUGGACCAUCCGUGGCACUGGACCAUCCAGCGAAGGCCGUGACGCCGUCACCAGCUGGACCAUCCGCGGCACUGGACCAUCCAGCGACGGCCGUGACGCUGUCACCAGCUGGACCAUCCGCGGCCCUGGACCAUCCAGCGACGGCCGUGACGCCGUCACCAGCUGGACCAUCCGCGGCCCUGGGCCAUCCAGCGACGGCCGUGACGCCGUCACCAGCUGGACCAUCCGCGGCACUGGACCAUCCAGCGACGGCCGUGACGCCGUCACCAGCUGGACCAUCCGCGGCACUGGACCAUCCAGCGACGGCCGUGACGCCGUCACCAGCUGGACCAUCCGCGGCCCUGGACCAUCCAGCGACGGCCGUGACGCCGUCACCAGCUGGACCAUUCGCGGCACUGGACCAUCCAGCGACGGCCGUGGCGUCGACUCUGCCAGUGCCGGAGACGACGGCGACGUCACCUGCGAGUUCCGCGGAACCCCUGACGCCGUCACCAGCUGGACCAUCCGCGGCCCUGGACCAUCCAGCGACGGCCGUGACGCCGUCACCAGCUGGACCAUCCGCGGCACUGGACCAUCCAGCGACGGCCGUGGCGUCGACUCUGCCGGUGCCGGAGAGGUCGGCGACGUCACCUGCGCCGCUGGUGUCAACACCGCAUGGACACCAGCUGCGAGCUGGUAAACGGCGGUGGAGUGGAAGCAGAGCGCGCAAGCCACCAGCCAGCUGACUCAGAGCCCAGGGGGCGUUCGCCACCAACAUCCGCACGGCGCAGCUGCAGAGGUGAUUUCUGCCAUGGAGCAGCAUCCGCGGCUCCAUGACAUCAUCCUUCCAUCAUUCUCCAUCAUCAUUUCCGGAGCUCACCCGACGGCGGAGCUGGCCUUUUGGUGUUUUGUAUGAUGGUAAAACGUGCUUAUACCUUUUCUCUGUUACCAAUGGGCCCUAUUAGGUACUGCAUCUCCUGCAUUAUUAGGUAGAGAUGCAGUACCAUUAUUAGGUACUGCAUUAUUAGGUACUGAAGGAGAUGCAGUACCUAACAGAUGCUUUCAGUGAACUUGUAGAGUCGAGAUUUAACGUCAGGUGUUUGGCGUAUUUAGAUGAUUUUCUUUUCAUGUCCAAGGACGCUGAAUGGUAUCGCUGCGUUUCUGACUAGUGUUGGGUUGUGUAUUAAUUUCAAUAAAUGAGUUCUCGUUCCGUU
Molecule: long non-coding RNA, 1702 nt
Organism: Amphibalanus amphitrite
Lineage: Eukaryota; Metazoa; Arthropoda; Thecostraca; Balanomorpha; Balanidae
Exons: 4
Source: RefSeq, a predicted model, not a curated record